UUCUAAAUUUGUUGUACUUCACUGGAAACUUGGCGAGUUUCUGGACCACUUCAGUGAUCGCUUCCGUCCGCUGUUACACACCUGCAGUCACUCACCACGGGAUUAUGCCCAGGUAAUGCAGAGGAGACGUCGAGAAGAUGGAUUUUCUCAUCUUU
Daphnia pulicaria is the source of this 155-nucleotide long non-coding RNA. RefSeq lists it as uncharacterized. Lineage: Eukaryota; Metazoa; Arthropoda; Branchiopoda; Diplostraca; Daphniidae. The transcript has 2 exons. The record is from RefSeq and is a predicted model, not a curated record.